Molecule: ribosomal RNA, 537 nt
Filed under: Strongyloides stercoralis
Lineage: Eukaryota; Metazoa; Nematoda; Chromadorea; Rhabditida; Strongyloididae
Description: SSU rRNA
Source: RNAcentral
AAUGUUUUCAUUAAUCAAGAACGAAAGUUAGAGGUUCGAAGGCGAUCAGAUACCGCCCUAGUUCUAACCGUAAACUAUGCCUACUAGAUGUAUGAAUUAUUAGUUAUAAUAAUUUAUGCAUCUUCUCGGAAACGAAAGUCUUUCGGUUCCGGGGGAAGUAUGGUUGCAAAGCUGAAACUUAAAGGAAUUGACGGAAGGGCACCACCAGGAGUGGAGCCUGCGGCUUAAUUUGACUCAACACGGGAAAACUCACCCGGGCCGGACACUAUAAGGAUUGACAGAUUGAUAGCUCUUUCAUGAUUUAGUGGUUGGUGGUGCAUGSCCGUUCUUAGUUCGUGGAUAUGAUUUGUCUGGUUGAUUCCGAUAACGAGCGAGACUUUUAUGUUAUAUUAAAUAUUAUUAUUUUGUUUAUUUUAAUAUAAAUAAUUAAUAUUUUAAUAACAGAUUAAUAGUGUUUAACUAUUUGAGAGAGAGCGAUAACAGGUCUGUGAUGCCCUUAGAUGUCCGGGGCUGCACGCGCGCUACAAUGUAGUGAUC